RNAcentral lists this long non-coding RNA (429 nucleotides) under Phascolarctos cinereus (koala). RNAcentral describes it as "lncRNA (ENSPCIG00000034432.1)". Lineage: Eukaryota; Metazoa; Chordata; Mammalia; Diprotodontia; Phascolarctidae. The record is from RNAcentral.
GAUAAUUGUUUCAUUAAAAUGAAUCAGGGUCAAAGGUUUCAGUUGUUUGGAAAGGCCUGGGACACCAGCAGUAUCACACUCAGCAGGGAUUUAAGGCUGAGAUUAGAUUCUUUUCCCGACUGCCAUGCAAUCCUAUCCCUCCCCACAGUAAAUCCUCCAUUUUUGCAAAUUUCCAAGAACUUUCUGAGCACAGACACCUGAAGGGUGCAAAAGGAGUCACAAGUUAAGUAAUGAAAUCGUCUUUCUGAGUGAAAUAUCUAAGAACUGUAUUAAGACUAUUUUCUAUAACCUAACAGGGGUUGGGAACCUGUGGCCUCAAGGCCAUAUAUGGCCCUCUAGGUCCUCAAGUGUGGCCCUUUGACUGAAUCCAAACUUCACAGAACAAAUCCCUUUAAUAAAAGGAUUUGUUCUGUAGAACUUGGACUUGGU